Molecule: ribosomal RNA, 490 nt
Filed under: uncultured bacterium
Lineage: Bacteria
Description: partial 16S ribosomal RNA
Rfam family: Bacterial small subunit ribosomal RNA
Source: RNAcentral
AUUGAACGCUGGCGGCAGGCCUAACACAUGCAAGUCGAACGGUAACAGGAAGCAGCUUGCUGCUUCGCUGACGAGUGGCGGGCGGGUGAGUAAUGUCUGGGAAGCUGCCUGAUGGAGGGGGAUAACUACUGGAAACGGUAGCUAAUACCGCAUAAUUUCGCAAGACCAAAGAGGGGGACCUUCGGGCCUCUUGCCAUCGGAUGUGCCCAGAUGGGAUUAGCUUGUUGGUGGGGUAACGGCUCACCAAGGCGACGAUCCCUAGCUGGUCUGAGAGGAUGACCAGCCACACUGGAACCGAGACACGGUCCAGACUCCUACGGGAGGCAGCAGUGGGGAAUAUUGCACAAUGGGCGCAAGCCUGAUGCAGCCAUGCCGCGUGUAUGAAGAAGGCCUUCGGGUUGUAAAGUACUUUCAGCGGGGAGGAAGGGAGUAAAGUUAAUACCUUUGCUCAUUGACGUUACCCGCAGAAGAAGCACCGGCUAACUCCGUG